This 671-nucleotide long non-coding RNA is filed under the name Gossypium barbadense (sea-island cotton). RNAcentral describes it as "long non-coding RNA (GBAR_LNC012795)". The record is from RNAcentral. Lineage: Eukaryota; Viridiplantae; Streptophyta; Magnoliopsida; Malvales; Malvaceae.
UUUUCUCCUGAAAUAUACAUUUUUGAAGUCUUUCAAACUUCUGCUGGCUAAACUCGGUGAUUUUGGUCUGCUCACGGGCUACAACUUUUAAUCUCCAAAUCUGUAUUUAAAGGAAAUGAAGAUUUUAUCAAUACAACAUCAUUAGAUGGUAAACAGGAUUUCACAUAUUAUAUAGCCAUCAAGUUGGACAAAAACAAUUGCAAAAAUAAAGUAGAAUUCAAUUAAAUUUCAUUCAAAAAAAACUUAAACUAAAGCAUAAGCGUAUACUUUUACGAUUUGAAGAUAAGAAGUACUGGGUUUACCUCUUCAACCAGAUCUGAUUUAGGCAUUUUCUUCACAGAAUCAGGUGAGAAAGUGUUAUAUCUGAACGUUAAGAGGAUGAAAGAUAAGAUUAGCAUAGAGACACGAAGAGGAAAAAAUCUGUUACAAUCUCUCAUCUCUGUAAUACUCAAGAAGCCCCGUAGCAUGCAAUAGAAGCAACUGGUACUUAUGAUGAGAACAAACAAGCAUUGUUGAUAAAUUCAGCAUAACAACAAUAACUCAUCAUGCAGCCUCCAUUGUUUAGUUUCCAAUGCUUUUUAAAACAUUCUUUACAUCCAAGAAUUGAAAGCAAAGAUUAUACAUUUCUAGAGUGUAACUCACAAGAUGUAGAAAAUACUUUAAACAACAAU